CCGACGGUGAGAGGUGAAAGCUGGGGGCACGAACCGGAUUAGAUACCCGGGUAGUCCUAGCCGUAAACGAUGCUCGCUAGGUGUCUGGGAUGGUGCGACCGUUUCAGGUGCCGCAGGGAAGCCGUGAAGCGAGCCACCUGGGAAGUACGGCCGCAAGGCUGAAACUUAAAGGAAUUGGCGGGGGAGCACUACAACGGGUGGAGCCUGCGGUUUAAUUGGACUCAACGCCGGAAAACUCACCUGGGGC
Molecule: ribosomal RNA, 247 nt
Filed under: uncultured archaeon
Lineage: Archaea
Description: partial 16S ribosomal RNA
Rfam family: Archaeal small subunit ribosomal RNA
Source: RNAcentral